UUGUUGGUAAGGUAAAAGCUUACCAAGGCUUCGAUCAGUAGCUGGUCUGAGAGGACGACCAGCCACACUGGGACUGAGACACGGCCCAGACUCCUACGGGAGGCAGCAGUGGGGAAUUUUGGACAAUGGGGGCAACCCUGAUCCAGCCAUGCCGCGUGAGUGAAGAAGGCCUUCGGGUUGUAAAGCUCUUUCAGCCGGAACGAAACGGUUACGGUUAACACCCGUGACUACUGACGGUACCGGAAGAAGAAGCACCGGCUAACUACGUGCCAGCAGCCGCGGUAAUACGUAGGGUGCGAGCGUUAAUCGGAAUUACUGGGCGUAAAGCGUGCGCAGGUGGUUUUGUAAGUCAGAUGUGAAAGCCCCGGGCUCAACCUGGGAACUGCGUUUGAAACUACAAGACUAGAGUGUGGCAGAGGGGGGUGGAACUCCGCGUGUAGCAGUGAAAUGCGUAGAGAUGUGGAGGAACACCGAUGGCGAAGGCAGCCCCCUGGGUCAACACUGACGCUCAGGCACGAAAGCAUGGGGAGCAAACAGGAUUAGAUACCCUGGUAGUCCAUGCCCUAAACGAUGUCAACUAGUUGUCGGGCCUUUACGGGCUUGGUAACGUAGCUAACGCGUGAAGUUGACCGCCUGGGGAGUACGAUCGCAAGAUUAAAACUCAAAUGAAUUGACGGGGACCCGCACAAGCGGUGGAUUAUGUGGAUUAAUUCGAUGCAACGCGAAAAACCUUACCUACCCUUGACAUGUAUCGAAGCCCGCAGAAAAGCGGGGGUGCCCGAAAGGGAACGAUAACACAGGUGCUGCAUGGCUGUCGUCAGCUCGUGUCGUGAGAUGUUGGGUUAAGUCCCGCAACGAGCGCAACCCUUGUCAUUAAUUGCCAUCAUUUAGUUGGGCACUUUAAUGAGACUGCCGG
This 916-nucleotide ribosomal RNA is filed under the name uncultured bacterium. RNAcentral describes it as "bacterial SSU rRNA". It matches the Rfam family "Bacterial small subunit ribosomal RNA", at positions 246 to 1155 of the family's 1533-position model. The record is from RNAcentral.